AACGAACGCUGGCGGCAUGCCUAACACAUGCAAGUCGAACGAUCCCUUCGGGGAUAGUGGCGCACGGGUGCGUAACGCGUGGGAACCUGCCCUUAGGUUCGGAAUAACUCAGAGAAAUUUGAGCUAAUACCGGAUAAUGUCUUCGGACCAAAGAUUUAUCGCCUUUGGAUGGGCCCGCGUUGGAUUAGCUAGUUGGUGGGGUAAAGGCCUACCAAGGCGACGAUCCAUAGCUGGUCUGAGAGGUUGAUCAGCCACACUGGGACUGAGACACGGCCCAGACUCCUACGGGAGGCAGCAGUGGGGAAUAUUGGACAAUGGGCGAAAGCCUGAUCCAGCAAUGCCGCGUGAGUGAUGAAGGCCUUAGGGUUGUAAAGCUCUUUUACCCGGGAUGAUAAUGACAGUACCGGGAGAAUAAGCCCCGGCUAACUCCGUG
This 433-nucleotide ribosomal RNA is filed under the name uncultured bacterium. RNAcentral's name for it is "partial 16S ribosomal RNA". It matches the Rfam family "Bacterial small subunit ribosomal RNA", at positions 29 to 507 of the family's 1533-position model. The record is from RNAcentral.